This 253-nucleotide ribosomal RNA is filed under the name uncultured bacterium. RNAcentral's name for it is "partial 16S ribosomal RNA". It matches the Rfam family "Bacterial small subunit ribosomal RNA", at positions 524 to 776 of the family's 1533-position model. The record is from RNAcentral.
GACAGAGGUGGCGAGCGUUGUUCGGUGUCACUGGGCUUAGAGCGUGUGUAGGCGGCAAAGUAAGCGCUUUGUGAAAGCCCCCGGCUCAACCGGGGAAUUGCUUGGCGAACUGCUUUGCUUGAGGCAAGACGGGGUGCGAGGAACUCUUGGUGGAGCGGUGGAAUGCGUAGAUAUCAAGAGGAACGCCGGUGGUGAAGACGUCGCACUAUACUUGUCCUGACGCUGAGACACGAAAGCGUGGGGAGCAAACGGG